AGUGAACGCUGGCGGUAGGCCUAACGCAUGCAAGUCGAACGGCAGCACAGUAAGAGCUUGCUCUUACGGGUGGCGAGUGGCGGACGGGUGAGGAAUACAUCGGAAUCUACUUUUUCGUGGGGGAUAACGUAGGGAAACUUACGCUAAUACCGCAUACGACCUACGGGUGAAAGCAGGGGAUCUUCGGACCUUGCGCGAUUGAAUGAGCCGAUGUCGGAUUAGCUAGUUGGCGGGGUAAAGGCCCACCAAGGCGACGAUCCGUAGCCGGUCUGAGAGGAUGAUCAGCCACACUGGAACUGAGACACGGUCCAGACUCCUACGGGAGGCAGCAGUGGGGAAUAUUGGACAAUGGGCGCAAGCCUGAUCCAGCCAUACCGCGUGGGUGAAGAAGGCCUUCGGGUUGUAAAGCCCUUUUGUUGGGAAAGAAAAGCAGCAGGUUAAUACCCCGCUGUUCUGACGGUACCCAAAGAAUAAGCACCGGCUAACUUCGUG
This 492-nucleotide ribosomal RNA is filed under the name uncultured bacterium. RNAcentral's name for it is "partial 16S ribosomal RNA". It matches the Rfam family "Bacterial small subunit ribosomal RNA", at positions 29 to 507 of the family's 1533-position model. The record is from RNAcentral.